This 532-nucleotide small RNA is filed under the name Pan troglodytes (chimpanzee). Its description in RNAcentral is "processed transcript". Lineage: Eukaryota; Metazoa; Chordata; Mammalia; Primates; Hominidae. The record is from RNAcentral.
AGAGAUAACGACAGAGGGUAACUGUAGCACAGCGGAGGGAACAAGUCUCCAGAGGCAGAAGGGUCAGCUAUGCCGAGAACACGUUUGAACUUGAAAAACAUUCGGGGACAGAGAAAACAGAGCUGCAAAAUAUGUUAAUAGAAUAAGUGAAAAUAAGAAUAUCCAGAAGUUAAGACAGGAACCAAAAGAACCAAAGAGGGAACCAUUCAUACUUCAAGAUCUGUAAGAAGAAGUAGCAAUAUUUAAUAUGGAAUCAAAAGCUUGUGAAUCAAGUAAUGAUCUUUUAUCAAGUAGUGGUGUCACAUCUAAUGGAGGUUCUUCAAGUUCGUUUUUUGUGUCAUCUAUUCGUGGUACAAUAAUUGAAAACACAUCUUCAGCUGGGACUUUGACACAGGUUCCUUUUUUCCCUAAAUAUGAAGUGGAACUUGAUUCUCCUAGAAAAAUCAUCCCAUCUCCUGGAAAGGAACACUUUGAACGUGUUUUGGAAGAAUAUUCACAUCAAGUCAAAGAUUUACAGAGAAGACUAAAUGAA